This 2223-nucleotide ribosomal RNA is filed under the name Triticum aestivum (bread wheat). RNAcentral's name for it is "partial small subunit ribosomal RNA". The record is from RNAcentral. Lineage: Eukaryota; Viridiplantae; Streptophyta; Magnoliopsida; Poales; Poaceae.
AUGUAUAACCUUCCUCCUUGGAUGUGCAUGAAGUGGAAGUUCAUUAUGAUGCCAGUUCUCAUCCAAGGCCCUAAGCAACCCGGCAACGACAUUGAUGUGUACCUAAGGCCAUUAGUUGAAGAACUUUUACAGCUGUGGAAUGGAAACGGUGUACGUACGUGGGAUGAGCACAAACAUGAGGAAUUUAACCUGCACGCGUUGCUGUUUGUAAUCAUCAACGAUUGGCCUGCUCUUAGUAACCUUUCAGGACAGACAAACAAGGGAUACCACGUAUGCACGCACUGUUUAGAUGACACUGAAAGUAUAUACCUGGACAAAUGCAGGAAGAAUGUGUACCUGGGCCAUCGUCGAUUUCUUCCGACCAACCAUCAAUGUCGAAAGAAAGGCAAGCAUUUCAAAGGCAAGGCAGAUCACCGGAAGAAGCCCGCCAUGCGUACCGGUGAUCACGUACUUGCUAUGGUCAAUGAUUUACACGUAAUCUUUGGAAAGGGUCCCGGCGGACUAGCUGUUCUGAAUGACGCUGAGGGACACGCACCCAUGUGGAAGAAGAACUCUAUAUUUUGGGACCUACCCUACUGGAAAGAGCUAGAGGUCCGCUCCUCAAUCGACGUGAUGCACGUGACGAAGAACCUUUGCGUGAACCUGCUAGGCUUCUUGGGCGUGUAUGGGAAGACAAAAGAUACACCUGAGACACGGGAGGACCUGCAACGUUUGCACGAAAAAGACGGCAUGCCUCCGAAGCAGUAUGAAGGUCCUGCCAGCUACGCUCUUACGAAAGAAGAGAAAGAAAUCUUCUUUGAAUGCCUGCUCAGUAUGAAGGUCCCGACUGGCUUCUCGUCGAAUAUAAAGGGAAUAAUAAAUAUGCCAGAGAAAAAGUUCCAGAACCUAAAGUCUCAUGACUGCCACGUGAUUAUGACGCAACUGCUUCCGGUUGCAUUGAGGGGGCUUCUACCGGAAAACGUCCGAUUAGCCAUUGUGAAGCUAUGUGCAUUCCUCAAUGCAAUCUCUCAGAAGGUGAUCGAUCCAGAAAUCAUACCAAGGCUAAGGAGUGAUGUGGCGCAAUGUCUUGUCAGUUUUGAGCUGGUGUUCCCACCAUCCUUCUUCAAUAUCAUGACGCACGUCCUAGUUCAUCUGGUCGACGGGAUUGUCAUUCUAGGGCCCGUAUUUCUACACAAUAUGUUCCCCUUUGAGAGGUUCAUGGGAGUCCUAAAGAAAUAUGUCUGUAACCGCGCUAGGCCAGAAGGAAGCAUCUCUAUGGGCCAUCAAACAGAGGAUGUCAUCGGGUUUUGUGUUGACUUCAUUCCUGGCCUUAAGAAGAUAGGUCUCCCUAAAUCGCGGUAUGAGGGGAUACUGACUGGAAAAGGCAUGCUUGGAGGGGACUCAAUAAUAUGCAGGGACGGAUAUUCUUGGUCUCAAGCACACUACACAGUUCUACAGAACUCUACCUUGGUGACACCGUAUGUCGAUGAACACAAGAACAGUCUGCGCUCCAAGCACCCGGAGCAGUGUGACGACUGGAUUACAUGUGAACACAUCAGGACUUUCAGCAGUUGGUUGGAAACACGUCUCAGAGGUGACAACACUGUUUGUGAUGAGCUGUACUCGUUGUCCAGGGGACCAUCUUCGACUGUAUUGACUUACAAAGGAUACGAGAUAAAUGGGAAUACAUUUUACACGAUCGACCAAGAUCAAAAGAGCACCAACCAAAACAGCGGUGUCCGCUUUGAUGCAGGAACCGAGAGGGGAAAGGACACAUGUUAUGGUUACAUAGUGGACAUAUGGGAACUUGACUAUGGACAUGAUUUUAAGGUCCCUUUGUUUAAGUGCAAAUGGGUCAAUCUGUCAGGAGACGGGGUACAGGUAGACCCACAGUACGGAAUGACAACAGUGGAUCUGAACAAUCUUGGGUACACUGACGAACCGUUCGUCCUAGCCAAUGAUGUGGCACAGGUUAUCCAUGUGAAGGACAUGUCUACCAGACCGAGAAAAAGAAAAGAUAAGGAAGCGAAUACAUCAUACGAUGAGCCAAAGCGCCACAUAGUUCUUUCAAGAAAAAGGGAUAUCGUGGGAGUGGAGGGCAAGACAGACAUGUCUGAAGAUUAUGAAAAGUUUCAUGAAAUUCCUCCCUUCAAAGUCAAGGCUGAUCCAAGCAUCCUGAUAAACGAUGAAGAUUAUCCAUGGUUACGGCGCAAUAAUCAAAGGACACAAGCGAAGAAAAAGUGA